CUGUGUGAGCUCAGGCACCGU
Molecule: unclassified non-coding RNA, 21 nt
Filed under: Mus musculus (house mouse)
Lineage: Eukaryota; Metazoa; Chordata; Mammalia; Rodentia; Muridae
Description: oocyte_clustered_small_RNA12471
Source: RNAcentral